Molecule: transfer RNA, 64 nt
Filed under: Daphnia galeata
Lineage: Eukaryota; Metazoa; Arthropoda; Branchiopoda; Diplostraca; Daphniidae
Description: tRNA-Arg
Source: RNAcentral
AAGUCUGAAGUAAAGUUUACAGUUAGUUUCGGCCUAAAAGUUGAUCUUAAAAGAUCCAGUCUUU